GAUGAACGCUGGCGGCGUGCCUAAUACAUGCAAGUCGAGCGAACAGACGAGGAGCUUGCUCCUCUGACGUUAGCGGCGGACGGGUGAGUAACACGUGGAUAACCUACCUAUAAAACUGGGAUAACUUCGGGAAACCGGAGCUAAUACCGGAUAAUAUAUUGAACCGCAUGGUUCAAUAGUGAAAGACGGUUUUGCUGUCACUUAUAGAUGGAUCCGCGCCGCAUUAGCUAGUUGGUAAGGUAACGGCUUACCAAGGCAACGAUGCGUAGCCGACCUGAGAGGGUGAUCGGCCACACUGGAACUGAGACACGGUCCAGACUCCUACGGGAGGCAGCAGUAGGGUAUCUUCCGCAAUGGGCGAAAGCCUGACGGAGCAACGCCGCGUGAGUGAUGAAGGUCUUCGGAUCGUAAAACUCUGUUAUUAGGGAAGAACAAAUGUGUAAGUAACUAUGCACGUCUUGACGGUACCUAAUCAGAAAGCCACGGCUAACUACGUG
This 497-nucleotide ribosomal RNA is filed under the name uncultured bacterium. RNAcentral's name for it is "partial 16S ribosomal RNA". It matches the Rfam family "Bacterial small subunit ribosomal RNA", at positions 28 to 507 of the family's 1533-position model. The record is from RNAcentral.